This 484-nucleotide ribosomal RNA is filed under the name uncultured bacterium. RNAcentral's name for it is "partial 16S ribosomal RNA". It matches the Rfam family "Bacterial small subunit ribosomal RNA", at positions 30 to 507 of the family's 1533-position model. The record is from RNAcentral.
AUUGAACGCUGGCGGCAGGCCUAACACAUGCAAGUCGAGCGGAUGAAGGGAGCUUGCUCCUGGAUUCAGCGGAGGACGGGUGAGUAAUGCCUAGGAAUCUGCCUGGUAGUGGGGGAUAACGUCGGGAAACGGGGGCUAAUACCGCAUACGUCCUGAGGGAGAAAGUGGGGGAUCUUAGGACCUCGCGCUAUCAGAUGAACCUAGGUCUGAUUAGCUAGUUGGUGGGGUAAAGGCCUACCAAGGCGGCGAUCGGUAACUGGUCUGAGAGGAUGAACAGUCACACUGGAACUGAGACACGGCCCUGGGUCCGACGGGAGGCAGCAGUGGGGAAGAUUGGACGAUGGGCGGAAGCCUGAUCCAUCGGUGCCAGGUGGGUGCAGAAGGUCUUCGGGUUGUAAAGCGCUUUUAGUGGUGAGGAACGGCUGUAGCUUAAACCCUGCCUGUUGUGACGGUACCUGCAGAAGAAGCACCGGCUAACUACGUG